CUGAAAUUAGGAAAAUUCAAAGAACUUUCUGGUGGAAAGUAGUGUAGUCUUCCUACUUUAGCUCAUGCUGCUGCUGCCUUUUUUUUUCUUCUCUAAGGCAAGGUUUCUUUUUUUUUUUUAAUGUGGUGCUGAGGAUCGAACCCAGUACCUCAUGCGUACUAGGCAGACACUCUACCUCUGAGCCACAACCCCAGCCCCAAGAUAAGGUUUCUUAAUAUUCUGUUUCUUAAUAACUGUUGCUGAAUCUGCUACUAAGUCUAAAUUAAAAACAAGAUCCCAUGUAAUGGCUAUGACUGUGUUGUAACAUGGGAUGCCAAAACAUUAAAUUUUGUUUCAAUUUUGACAUUCAAAAAUCUCUCAACCUGUAGCAAUAAAACAUUUUUGGAAAAUUAUUUAUCAAAUUGCACUUUUAACUUUCAGCAUGCAACCUAUGAGAUGGAUCUUGAAAUAAAAUAUUUGUAGUAUGAGGAGGUUCUGGAGAAAGUAAUGCUCUAUUUUUAGCAGCACAGAAGAGUGUCUUUUAUAUACUGUCUAGAUAUACAAAUUCCAGAGCAAACUGGUAUUUGCAUUAGGACAUAUCUCUUUAUGAUUACAUUAAAAAUGAGCCAAAGGAGAGGGAAUAGUAUAAGAAAGAAGUGGAAGUUUCCCACUGUUGGUUUAUUUAGGUGCCUUUAAGUACUGUCAGUUUUGGUACUAUUGCCAGAAGAAAGAAAAAACUCAGAUAAUAUUAGAACUUAUUACUAACUAGUCAACUAUAGACAAGAUUGGAAGUCUUCAGCGUCCUUUAUAGAAUUCUUUUGGCCAAAAACAAAACAUAGACUUUGUUUCAAGGCUACUUAUACCAAAAGUAUAAGCAAACUAACAGACCAUACUGUUUUAAAAAUUAGGUCUUUUUCUGUAGUUUAAGUGUCUUGUGUUAUUCCAUACAAGUGGUAUAAUUCUUUUUAACUGAAAAGAAUUGAUUAUGAUGAAAAUAUGCUUGAAAUUUUUCUGUGAUAUACACAUUUCCACUGCUGCUAAAUAUUUAACUUGGCUUCAAUAAGUACAAAUUAUUUUAGAAAAAAAUCUAUUUUUAGAGUAUAUUCUGGAUCUAUGGCUUGCUUUCAGUAUGUUAAUUAAAUUUAUAUUCUGUGCAUUAAGACAAACCUCCCUAACAUUCCAAGCC
This 1165-nucleotide long non-coding RNA is filed under the name Marmota monax (woodchuck). Lineage: Eukaryota; Metazoa; Chordata; Mammalia; Rodentia; Sciuridae. The record is from RNAcentral.